Long non-coding RNA from Metopolophium dirhodum (rose-grain aphid), 926 nucleotides. RefSeq lists it as uncharacterized. NCBI's taxonomy places the organism in Eukaryota, Metazoa, Arthropoda, Insecta, Hemiptera, Aphididae. The transcript is spliced from 3 exons. The record is from RefSeq and is a predicted model, not a curated record.
GACAAAAGGUAAUUCGACAAAAAACCAUCAUACCACACUACCAACCGUAUAAAUACGGUAACAUUGUCAUAAAAUAUUGACAAAAUAUCACUUAAAUUAAUUAUCAAAAUGAAUUAAGUUUUUGGCGCUUGAUUUGAACCACUAAUCAGAUAAUAGAUAUUAAAAUUUAAAUCUUAUGGGCCAUGGCAUAACGUUUUAAAAUUUCACAUUUUCACGAUUCACGGAUAAAUGACACAAGUCACGUCGUUAAUAAUUUUCUUCAGUACUUCAAAAUUUUCAAGUUACAAGUUGCGAAUUAUUGUUGAUGAUUAUUAAAUAAUGUUCGAUAUAUUUCAACAUUAACACCAACUAAAUUAUAAAAAAAAACGAUAAAUCGAAACGUUUAAAACCAGAAAGGCAACGGUUGUGGAUUAAAUUGCCCAAGCAAUCUCUACACAAGCAUUUGUGUCCACAAGGAAUGCAUGCGUGGCUGUUGACAUUGCUUAAACAAAUAACGCAGCAAUCGGCGGGUCUUGGUUCAACUCCAUUGAUAUCGAGAGGAACAUGAGGGAUGUUUUCCCUGUCUUGAGCCCUCCUCUGUUCCUCAAUUUCCGCCAUAGCAAUGAACACCGGAUCAUCAUCCUCUGCUAAUACAAAAUCAGGUUCAUCUAGAUUAUAAUAAAAUACAGUGAUAUUAAAUUUAACUUACUGGUAAAAUGCCAAAUACCAGGACGUGGACUAUUCAUGAUAGUGUUUAAAUGGCGGUGAAAUAUCUCCUGGUCGUUGUUAGUUCUCCUUGGCAUGCCAUGUACACAAAAGGUUUCCGGUCCAACCCCUAAUGUUAAUUAAUAUUAUUAUGGAUAAAGACUACUUAAGGUAGGGUUAUAAACUUUGUUUAAUUUUUGUAAUUUUGUUAAAAAAAAAUCUGUAACUGGUUUGACUGAAUA